UACGUAGGUGGCAAGCGUUGUCCGGAUUUACUGGGCGUAAAGGGAGCGUAGGUGGAUAUUUAAGUGGGAUGUGAAAUCCCCGGGCUUAACCUGGGGGCUGCAUUCCAAACUGGAUGUCUAGAGUGCAGGAGAGGAGAGUGGAAUUCCUAGUGUAGCGGUGAAAUGCGUAGAGAUUAGGAAGAACACCAGUGGCGAAGGCGACUCUCUGGACUGUAACUGACACUGAGGCUCGAAAGCGUGGGGAGCAAACAGG
RNAcentral lists this ribosomal RNA (253 nucleotides) under uncultured Clostridium sp. Its description in RNAcentral is "partial 16S ribosomal RNA". It matches the Rfam family "Bacterial small subunit ribosomal RNA", at positions 524 to 776 of the family's 1533-position model. RNAcentral also lists the same sequence under 1 other name. The record is from RNAcentral. Lineage: Bacteria; Bacillati; Bacillota; Clostridia; Eubacteriales; Clostridiaceae.